RNAcentral lists this ribosomal RNA (2016 nucleotides) under marine metagenome. RNAcentral describes it as "bacterial LSU rRNA". It matches the Rfam family "Bacterial large subunit ribosomal RNA", at positions 3 to 2067 of the family's 2925-position model. The record is from RNAcentral.
UCAAGCUACAAAGGGCUCACGGAGGAUACCUAGGCACACAGAGGCGAUGAAGGACGUGGUUACCUGCGAUAAGUCUCGGGGAGUUGGAAGCACACUUUGAUCCGGGAAUUUCCGAAUGGGGCAACCCCUUGAACGACCAACUGAAUAUAUAGGUUGGUGCGAGCUAACCCAGCGAACUGAAACAUCUUAGUAGCUGGAGGAAGAGAAAGUAAAUAACGACUCCCUCAGUAGCGGCGAGCGAACGGGGAAUAGCCCAAACCGAUAGUCUUGACUAUCGGGGUUGUGGGACAGCAAUAUGGAUCAACAAUUCUAGAAGAAACGUUUGAAUGGCGUGCCAUAGAGGGUGAAAGCCCCGUAAUUGAAAGAUGAGUUGACCUAGCUGUAUCCCGAGUAGCACGGAGCACGUGGAAUUCCGUGUGAAUCUGCGAGGACCACCUCGUAAGGCUAAGUACUACUGUGUGACCGAUAGUGAAACAGUACCGCGAGGGAAAGGUGAAAAGAACCCCGGGAGGGGAGUGAAAUAGAACAUGAAACCGUGAGCUUACAAGCAAUGGGAGCCCGACUAAUCGGGUGACCGUGUGCCUGUUGAAGAAUGAGCCGGCGACUUAUAGGCACUGGCGGGUUAAACCGGAAAUGGUGGAGCCACAGCGAAAGCGAGUCUUAAUAGGGCGUUUGUCAGUGUUUAUAGACCCGAACCCUGGUGAUCUAACCAUGGCCAGGAUGAAGCUUGGGUGAUACCAAGUGGAGGUCCGAACCGACUGAAGUUGAAAAUUCAGCGGAUGAGCUGUGGUUAGGGGUGAAAUGCCAAUCGAACCAGGAGCUAGCUGGUUCUCCCCGAAAUACGUUGAGGCGUAGCGUCUAGUGCUCCAGCAGGGGGGUAAAGCAACCAUUUCGGUGCGGGCUGCGAAAGCGGUACCAAAUCGAUAUGAACUCUGAAUACCCUGUGUGUAACUAGGCAGUCAGACUGUGGGGGAUAAGCUCCAUAGUCAAGAGGGAAACAGCCCAGACCGCCAGCUAAGGUCCCAAAAUUAACGCUAAGUGAUAAAGGAGGUGGGAUUGCCCAGACAACCAGGAGGUUUGCCUAGAAGCAGCCAUCCUCAAAGGAGUGCGUAAUAGCUCACUGGUCGAGCGAUCCUGCGCCGAAAAUGAAUGGGGCUAAGCGUUAUACCGAAGCUGCGGAUAAAUUUAUUUAUGGUAGGGGAGCGUUCUAUGUUGGGUGAAGCGUUAGCGUAAGCGGACGUGGACGGCAUAGAAGUGAGAAUGUCGGCUUGAGUAGCGAAAACAUGGGUGAGAAUCCCAUGCCCCGAAACCCUAAGGGUUCCUCCGGCAGGCUCGUCCGCGGAGGGUUAGUCUGGACCUAAGGCGAGGCCGAAAGGCGUAGUCGAUGGAUAACAGGUCAAUAUUCCUGUACCAGUUAUGUUUUGGGAAGGGGGACGGAGAAGGCUAGCCAGGCCAGAUGUUGGUUACUGGUUCAAGCGUUCAAGGCUUUGAGAGAUGGAGAAAACAUCUUGAGCUGAGGCGUGAGUACGAGCUGCUACGGCAGCGAAGUUGGUGAUGUCAUGCUUCCAAGAAAAGCCCUAUACCCGUUAAGACAUAAAUGCCAGUACCCGAAACCGACACAGGUGGGGUGGUAGAGAAUACCGAGGGGCGCGAGAUAACUCUCUCUAAGGAACUCGGCAAAAUGGCCCCGUAACUUCGGGAGAAGGGGUGCCAGCGAGAGCUGGUCGCAGUGAAGAGGCGCAAGCGACUGUUUACCAAAAACACAGGUCUCCGCUAAGUCGCAAGACGAUGUAUGGGGGCUGACACCUGCCCAGUGCCGGAAGGUUAAGGAAGCUGGUUAGCUUUUAGCAAAGCUAGCGACUGAAGCCCCGGUGAACGGCGGCCGUAACUAUAACGGUCCUAAGGUAGCGAAAUUCCUUGUCGGGUAAGUUCCGACCCGCACGAAAGGUGUAACGAUUUGCGCGCUGUCUCGGAGAGAGGCUCGGCGAAAUAGAAUUGUCUGUGAAGAUGCGGACU